Molecule: ribosomal RNA, 260 nt
Filed under: Azospirillum sp. Ala
Lineage: Bacteria; Pseudomonadati; Pseudomonadota; Alphaproteobacteria; Rhodospirillales; Azospirillaceae
Description: partial 16S ribosomal RNA
Rfam family: Bacterial small subunit ribosomal RNA
Source: RNAcentral
AUGCCUAACACAUGCAAGUCGAACGAAGGCUUCGGCCUUAGUGGCGCACGGGUGAGUAACACGUGGGAACCUGCCUUUCGGUUCGGAAUAACGUUUGGAAACGAACGCUAACACCGGAUACGCCCUAUGGGGGAAAGUUUACGCCGAGAGAGGGGCCCGCGUCGGAUUAGGUAGUUGGUGAGGUAAUGGCUCACCAAGCCUUCGAUCCGUAGCUGGUCUGAGAGGAUGAUCAGCCACACUGGGACUGAGACACGGCCCAG